RNAcentral lists this long non-coding RNA (1867 nucleotides) under Homo sapiens (human). RNAcentral describes it as "non-protein coding lnc-UBE2U-2:1". Lineage: Eukaryota; Metazoa; Chordata; Mammalia; Primates; Hominidae. The record is from RNAcentral.
GGAAGAAUACUCCAGGUGGUGGAAUAGCAAAUAGAAAGGCCCCCAAACAGGAACAUGCUGGGCCUUUUCGAGGAAGGUCCUAGAAAUUGAGAAAAGCAGAACUAGGUGAUGGAGGACCUAGGUAAGGAAUUUGGAUUUCAUUCUAUGAGCUGUGGGCAGCCUUUGGACAGCCAGUGCUCUAGAAGUCUAGGGAAGGAGAGAGCAUGGGACAUCAGAGGCCUCACAGCUGACUUUAAGAUGGGCCUGGAAGUAUCCAGUGGGCAGAGUUCAGCAUAGAAAGAAGGCCAGUGGCAGCCACUGCAGGGCCCCAGGCAUGGAGCUAGGAAAGGUAACCUGUCUGAGGGCCUUUGACAGACCAGUGCUGCCUGGAGCUGGAGUUCUCUGAGGGAGAGUGCUGGGGAUGAGGUUGCAAAGGUACCUUUGCCUGAAGCAUGGAGAGCCUUGAAGCCAGGCCAGGGGAAUUUGAUAUUUACUAAUGUGAAUACCUGAGUGCCCUGAGAAUAGUGGGGACUCCAAAAUUUCUGUCUAGGAGCAAUUUAAGGAUAGCUCUCAGGUGGAGGGUAGGGGUGAUGGAAGGGGUAGAGGAUCUGUCUUAGAGCUAGCAAGCAAAAGAUUUUACCUAGGUUGUGUAUUUACUUGAGGGUGGUUUUGGGAAAGGGCAGUGGUAAAGUUUUGAGGUCUUGCCCUAAAGCUACACUGCAUAGCAAACACACUGUUUUUACUUGGAUGGUAUCCUAUUUGGGGUUACUAAGGGGAUGGGGAUCAAUGAAAAUUAUGGGGCAUUAAUCCUUGGCUCUGUCCUGGGAGAAUGAAAAUUACAUAAUGAAAGGUGUGAUUUAGAAAGGUGGUCAAGAGUGAGUGUGGGGAGGCAUUCACUCAUUCAUCCAUUCAUCCACUUAGCAAUUGUUUAUGAAUACUCCAAUGUGCCAAGUGGCAGAAUGGAACUUGUAUAUUCCUGUGUUCACACUCUGUUCCUACCACUUACUACUUGUGUCAUCUUGGGCAGCUUUUAUUUAAUCUCUUAGAACCUCAGUUUCCUUGUCUAUAGAAUAAUAAUACCAGCAGUCCCCUCUUAUCUGUGUGGGAUAUGUUCCAAGAUGCCCACUGGAUGCCAAAAACCAUGGAUAACACUGAGCCCUAUAUUUACUAUGUUUCCUACACAUGUGUACCUAUGACAACAAUAAUAACUAGUAAGAUAGGACAAUUAUAUUAAUAUACCGUAAUAAAAGUCGUGUGAAUACAGUCAUGAUCCCUCUCUCUCAAAAGAUUGUUAUACUGUACCACAUGUAACUGAAACAGUAGAAAGUGAAACUGUGGAUAAAGGGGGACUGUUGUAACAUGCCUACCCUAGUGGUGCUUGUGAUUAGAGAGAAUGUGCAUACAGUGUCCAACCCAGUGCUUGGCACCUAGUAGGUGCUCAAUAAAUGGUGGCGCCUACUGGGUUGCAGUAGAUGGAGAGUACUGUAGGCAGAAAGUUGUUACUGUGGCAGCACAGAUUUCCCACAGUAAGGGCCUUCAUUAGGGCAAGGGUGAGGUUUGUAGGGCAGGAGAUAGUUUUGAGAGGCUUGGAAGAACAUCUUGAAUAGGACUUGGGUCCUGAAGGAUAAGAUGAUAAUGUGAAGAUAAUAUGAAGGUCUUCAGCAGAGAAAAUGUGGAACUAGAUGCCCAAACAAGAAGGAAAAUUGGGAAGAAAGUAGACUGGGGAAGGAGUCACACUUUAGGUUGAAUCUGGGGCAGCAGCCAAGUGGAGAGAGUCUCUAGAUUUGGAGAAUACAGUGGUUUGCAGGAGUGAGACCUGGGCUAAGCAGACACAUUGAUUUUAAUAUCACUGUGAUGGCAUACUAGUCAGGAUACAAACUUGGUUGCU